AUACUUACCUGGCAGGAGACAUAUCAUGAUCAUGAAGGUGGUUUUCCCAGGGUGAGGCUUAUCCAUUGCACUCCGGAUGUGCUGACCCCUGCGAUCUCCCCAAAUGUGGGAAACUCGACUGCAUAAUUUGUGGUAGUGGGGACUGCGUUCGCGCUUUCCCCUG
This 163-nucleotide small nuclear RNA is filed under the name Rhinopithecus bieti (black snub-nosed monkey). Its description in RNAcentral is "U1 spliceosomal RNA (ENSRBIG00000005951.1)". It matches the Rfam family "U1 spliceosomal RNA". Rfam says of the family: U1 is a small nuclear RNA (snRNA) component of the spliceosome (involved in pre-mRNA splicing). Its 5' end forms complementary base pairs with the 5' splice junction, thus defining the 5' donor site of an intron. The record is from Rfam by way of RNAcentral. Lineage: Eukaryota; Metazoa; Chordata; Mammalia; Primates; Cercopithecidae.